This is a long non-coding RNA of Pezoporus flaviventris, 1246 nucleotides long. RefSeq lists it as uncharacterized. The record is from RefSeq and is a predicted model, not a curated record. The transcript is spliced from 4 exons. NCBI's taxonomy places the organism in Eukaryota, Metazoa, Chordata, Aves, Psittaciformes, Psittacidae.
AGAAGCCGGGAGAACCUGAAGGGGUCGGCAGAUUGUACCACUGCGACAGGAAUGGUGGCGCAACACCGCCGCCGGGGGGGAACGGAGCGGGAAAUACUACUGCCGAGUGAGAAACCACCACUACUCAUGUACUCUGGUCAGUUUGGAGCCCAUUCCAUACAGUGUUCUACAAAGACAGACUUCUCUGAGCAUCCAGACUGAAGUCAGUGUGGCUGACUGUAAGAGUCCAUCACCAAUCUAUCUCUUCCACUUCAAGGUAAGCUGUCCAUAUGGAAAAAGUAACAGUUGAGGCUGCCAGACCAGUGGAGGCAGCUUAGAAACAGUUUCAACUACAUAUGAUUAUGACAGGCUUCACAAUGGUAAUCAACAGAUAAUAAAUGGGGCAUUGUUUAUUGCUGCCCACUUGUGAUUCAGUGGCUCCACCUUACACAGAGCUGUCACUCUCCAGGAACUGCAUAACUACUCACUGCUCUUAGUUCAUAUUGAAGAAGAAAAAAAUAAGUAAAGAAGGUAUACUGUCAGGGUCUUUUGUAAAAACAAACAUUCCGCUUGCAGUAUAAAAUCCUGGAGUUUUGCAGAAUGGGCUCUGAAUGUACUCUGAACCCAAGGCAUACAGUUUUCUCUCUCAGCCUAGAGCCUACCUUUUUUUUUUUUUUUUUUCAUUUAUUUUGUACCUGUAAAGAAUGAGUUUAAAAUACUUUAAAGGUGCUUUGUGCGGCCCGUUUUGAGAAAACUCGAGAAAAAUCAGCCAUUCAAGAGUAUUUUCACUGAACUUUGAUCUUUAUGUACUUACACAACGCAAUCUGGUGUUACACACACAGAACUUCUAAUCACCUUUGAACUACAGUCAAAGAUAAAGAUUCAGGGAAUUUAUCAUAGCUGGAUUCCAAAGGACAAAGUUGAAAGCUUUAUAGCAGAUAGAGAUUUCAGUGAACUUCUGUUCUGCAGAAAUGAAGCAACAAAUGCAAGCAGGCAACAGAGAACUCUGGUCUUUUCUCAUGUGCUACAUCACAAGAUAGAUAAAACAGGAGGAUAUCAAAAUACCACAUCUGAAAGUAAUCAAUACCAGCACUGCAAGCCAGAUAUAGUAACACUACACAGAAAAGGUUUUAAGGACUUUGUAUCUGCUUCCACCAGACUGCUGAAAGUAGAAUUUCCAAACACUGUUUUUAAUCUAAAGGUUUGUAUCAACUGAAUAACCCAUUUAGGGCAAGUGUAAACAAAUACUGUACCCUUCACAAUUUAA